UUGUGGGUUAACAAGCCGCCGCACGGAAAGUCAGCCAUGCAGCGCUGCUACGUAGUGCGCUCCCUUUAUCUUUAUGUUUACCUCUCCCUAAUAAUAAAGCACGGAACACUUCUAUCGUCCGUCGAGGCGUUUUUGCACAAAAGCCCCUCCACUUUUGGAUAUUCAAUCCGCAGUCCCUAUGUAAGUGGAUCUGGAAAAAAACGUUUUGAGUUUAUAAAAUAACCCUUGCGUCAUGUAAUAAUUCCGCCCAGGCUCCUUAUCCACGUGGUUGGGGACGGCGGUUGCUUGAUGCGGAACGAUGGCGACGGCUGCUCGAUGCGGAAGGACGGUGGCGACUGCUUGGCAGGGGCUGGAUGGGUGCACUGUAGAGGAUUGGGAGGCCGAUUUGGAGGCGGGCGGUGAGGCGGGGUCGCCGGUGACGAAGAGGAAGGCCGGAGCCUGGCCGGGGAGCGGCGGCGGCGAGGACGCGGCGGCGCCUCCUCCUCUCGGAUCCGGUGAUGGCCAUCUGCACAAAAGCCAAUAAGAUUGACGACAUUUGGGUGGCGCAGCCCGCUCAUCGUGAGCGCAUGGGCAAGGAACUCCCUGUUAUGUUGCUCUGGUGAGCCACUUGGAUCAACAGCAUGCUGAAGCUUUAUAGCAACGACCUACAGAUGCAGAUGUUGAUUGAUCAAUCAUUUUCUUUCCCUCACAUCGAUCAUGUCUUCAAAUCGUCAUGGUCCGUACGUAUAUGAAACUAAGUAUAAAAUAAGAAGAAGAAUUGGAUUGUCACCUGAUUGAUGCUCUUCAUGUAGCCUUUGUCGCUGAAGUUUCUUGUCACCGUCGCGAGCUCCUCGAAGGAGAAAGUUCGUGGCACGGCGCCAGCGACGCCGCUGGUGUGUGGAUUGGUCGGAGCAGAACGUGGGACCUCCUUCUUCCUCGCGCUCAAGCAGGGGAAACAACUUGUUAGGCUGAAAGCAGCCAUUGUUGAGCUUGACACCGGCUUAGCUUCCUUUUGCCAGAUCUGUCUCUCAACCAGAACAAGAUUUGUGCUACAUUUAAAAAACAAAUAAGAGGAAAACAUAUUAGCUUCACAGGAGGUCAGUUGACAUAUGUCCCUAAAAUUUCAAACAGCUAUGCUAUAUAUGUUUACCGGAGUUUUGUUAGACUCGCGUCAUGGGCGGAAGAGGGUUUAAGUUGAACUCACAAGGUGUUAAGGAAUAACAUGAAUCAUCUUAUAGUCUGUUCUGUUUA
This is a long non-coding RNA of Hordeum vulgare subsp. vulgare (domesticated barley), 1230 nucleotides long. RefSeq lists it as uncharacterized. The record is from RefSeq and is a predicted model, not a curated record. Lineage: Eukaryota; Viridiplantae; Streptophyta; Magnoliopsida; Poales; Poaceae. The transcript is spliced from 2 exons.